This is a long non-coding RNA of Pipra filicauda (Wire-tailed manakin), 11074 nucleotides long. RefSeq lists it as uncharacterized. Lineage: Eukaryota; Metazoa; Chordata; Aves; Passeriformes; Pipridae. The record is from RefSeq and is a predicted model, not a curated record. The transcript has 3 exons.
CACUUGUAACAAAUGUGGGUAGAGCCUUCCCCAAAUCUUCGUUUGCGAAGCCCAGCCAUGAUACAGUGAAAUAGUAACUGGUCUAAAGAAGUGCAUUAAAUAAAUUGUAAUAUAGUUAAAUAUAAUCCACACAAAAUACUCAGAAGUGAUUGCAGCAGCCAGCUGUAAUAAAUUUUUAUAUUCACGGAUGAUCAUACUCUUGUUUAAUGCAGGGCUUGUUUUACACUUACUAUGCAGAGGAGUAGGUUCCUAUUCUAUAAAAAGGUAAGGGAGCUUAAACAAAUACUGUUUUAACUUAUUCUUAAAGAAUAUGGUCAUUUUAAAGUAGCAUAAGUUUAAAUAAGCAGAACUUUAAAUAACUGUGAUCUGCUUCUGUUUGCAAAUGAGCUAUCAAAAACCCCCUAGCUUCUUUUCAGUACAAUUUUUAGUGCUUUUACCCUAAAACCCUAAUACCAAAUAAUCACAUUUGGAACUGAUCUGUGUGUUCUACAAACUAAUUUUCUUAUCACUCUGGUUCAUUUCAGCAAUCUAGUUGUUCUUAAACUAAUUGUAUUGAAAAAUAAGGACUCGAUUUAAGAGAAGCUAAAAUCCCUUCUUGUACCUUGCUUUUUAGGCUCAAACCUUUUUUUACAGAAAGCUUCUCCUACUGCCCAGAAGGAAAAUUUCUUCCCAGUUGCUCACCUAAUUGUGCAUCUUGUCUACAAUCAGAAAGUUGCACUGGCUCUGUAAGUCCAUCCAGUGGCUGCAUAUAGGAAUUGCAUAUUUUUGAGGGUAAAUUCCAAUUUUGUACAGUUUAGCUUAUUAAGUAGUGUAGUUAAUGUUAUUACUGGAAAAAAACGUGAACUGAAAUGUACAACUGGAAUACUCCCAGCCUUUGCUGAUAAGUAGAUCUAUAUCUCUAAAGUACCCUUUGAGUAAUACUGGGAAUUGAUUUGUUGUUCCAGCAACAGGGACAAGAUAAAAGUUGAUGAUUAUUUAUUUGUAUUUAAAUUAAUUACCUCCUAGAGUGAGGAACAGAAAACUUCUGAGUGAAAAGUUUUAGCUUAUUUUCAUUCUGAACCUGAGACAACUGAGGUCAUUGUGAAUGCUAGGCUAGCUCUUGUGAAUCAUCCUUUUAGAUCUCAUGUGUGUGUUCAUAGUAAAGCAAACCUCUGUGAAGUUACAUCUUCUAAUUAUUAAGUAUGUGUUUUUGUUAAAUGGCAUGAGAUACUACAAAAAGUCAUUAAAAAACUGAAAGAGGACAAGAUCUGAACAGUGUGUACCAGAAGUCACAUUAAGAAUUUAUAUACAGACUAUUUCCAGAAAAUCCUGCUUAAGUUCAGUACUGAAUCUUGAUGGAUCAUCAGACUAAAUCAGGCCAGCUGAUUGUUUGAGAAUCUAUGUAGCAUUUCCCCUUGAUGAUGACAGCAAUUAGAGCCUUAGUGCCUUGAGCCCUAAUUCUAACAUCAUUUCCAUUAUUGCUACCAGUGCUGAAGUUGUAACUGUGGAGAAUAUUGGUGGAAUACUUUUACCAGUUAGAAAAAGCCCAUUUGCUAAAAGCCUUUUAAUUCUCUGUUCUUGGCAAAUAAGGGCUUCUAAAAUGUUCACCAUCAUUACUACCUUUUUUCUUCCCAUGAAAGUAAAUGUAUCUUUAAUUUUGCCUUCUAGAGUGAAUACAUUAUGAUAUAGCUUACAAUUACAUGAUAGCCUAUAAUUUGUCCAGCCCUGCUUCAGUUAGUGCGUAGGUUGUGGAGGCAUAAAAAGGCAUAAAGAGAGAAUGACUUUUGUAACACCAGCCUAAAUCUAGUGCUUUUAAAAAAAUUAAGAGCUUUAUUUUUCUAUCUUUAUAAAUAAAUUUUACCCUAGAAAGUUGCAGAAGUGUGUGUAAGAUACUGUCAUGGCAGGUACUUUGUGCUUGUUAAAACAACCACGUAGUACCUAUUGCCUGCUGUGGUACAACAGUUGCCUUUAUAAUUCUUUCCAGUGUUUUAUACAUUUCAAAUCUUCAUUAUUUUUGGUCUAGAAUUGCCACUACUGAGGUUGCUAUGGUUGUAAACUCUAGCAGUUUCUCUCCAACAAGAUAUCUGGUUUUAGUAAUAGAGUUUUGAAUUAGAAUAUUACAAUUCCUUCUUGCUGCAAUGAUUAUUAUAAAAUAGAUAAUGUCAAUGUGUUGUGGAUAUAAUGCAACUCGAUCUGCUACAGAAACUCUCCUUUCAGGUUUGGUUUUCUUUUCUUUGUUUGUUUUUAACUAGGGCCACAAUAAAUAUAUACCUUCUUUGUUAGCCUAAGUACUCCCCAGACCUGAAAACAUAGAACCUUCAUGGAACUUUAAGUUAAAAUGAGAUGGCUUUGGAAAAUGAGUGCAGAAAACAUUCAACUCAUCUCUGGAACCCAGUCUAGCAGUUUUUUGCAUGGUUCUCACUUUACGAAGUUGGCUGGUAUCUUAUGAAUUCACUUUCCUCUGUAAGGGUAUAGAGCUGGGUGAUAUAGAACCACUGAAUGAACUCCUAGCUUUCCUUUCUCUGUAAGCUGUGAGUCUCAGCAUAUUUUAGUUGGAGCACAACAUAGGUUUCCCUACUGUGUACUUGAUCAGUCUGCAAAAGCUGUUGUUAUAACACUGCCUUUGUCCUCUCCUUCCUUCUGAGUACAACCAGAGGAUCACUUGGUUAUUUUAUUUUACUUGCAUUUGCCAGUGUUAGGAUUUCAUUAUUCAUGUGUCAGUUAUGACUAUAUCAUUUACCAGAACCAAAAAGACUCCGCUUCUUAGUACAUUACAAUAGCUACAAAUCUUUCCAGAGGCAUCAAGUAAAUUAUUUUGGUUUUGUUUGUUCCAUUAAAUAUAUAGGAAACUAUUUUCCUCUAGUGAAUUAUUAUUCUUCAUGAGAAGGAAUAAAUGUAAUGUAUUUCUGAUUUGUUCUGAACUCUUUACUGGAGAUAGGAAAAGAACUCUAAAGGUGGUGUACCUUUCUUGAGGCCAUAGUAGAGCCCACUUUUUAACCCUACCAGCUUCCAUGCUUUUUGUCUGAGCAAUAUUAAUACUGCAGCAUUCUUCUGUUAAUGCAUGGCCCUGCAUUUUAUCAUGUCCUGUGAUGUGACAGAUCAAUAAACACCCUCAAUGAGGAGAUUACAAAUAAAACUGUGGAAUUUACAAAUUUAGAAAAUUAUUUCCAAAUCAGCUAAGUUUUUUAGCUAAACAAAACAAGAUUAAUGAAUACCUGCAUACCAAACACUUCCUAUCAGAGUUCACAAUAUUUACAAAGCCCAUUAGCAGGUUUUGCAGAACAUCCUCAAUCCUGUACUCAGCUGAUAGGUUGUUACAGACACAUCAGUAUGGAAAAAAUCUGCCCUGUUCUAGUUUCUCUUUCAAACGUCUCUAGCAGUUCCAGAAGUUAUGAGAUCCAUUGCCUACCUCAACUCUGCCCUUUCCCAACAACUGCAAACAAGACAAAGCAGUUUUCUGCAACCUGGUGGGGUUGCAGGCACCCUCUUUUUCUAGGGUGAACAUAACCAAAUUAUUAGAAUUGCCAUUUGAUGUGUAUUUAAUUCAAAGUGGAAAAAUGCAAAAGGAAAGAACAAACAAAUUUAGAAGCUUUUCAGACAAAAUAGUGGUCACAGAAUUGAAUUUACAGGUCAGCACAAACAUUCUAGGCAUAUGUUAGUCUGUCAUAAUUAUGAUUGUCGAUUUGUUCUUCCCUUAUGAAUAAAUAUAAAAUAUGCCAUUUAUAUUUCUUUGACCAGAUUUUCUUUCAUCUUUUCUAAACUGACCACUCCUAAUCUUUUGUAUCUUCUGCUGUGCACAAUAGAGCCCAAUUUAGUAAGGAUUUUCAAAUGUCAUUGCAAAACUGUUAUGCAAAAACCAUAUUGCAAAACCACUAUGUCAUUUAGUAGUGUCUUUCAAAUUCUAAAAUAAUUUUUAAGAAGUCUAGUCAGGGUUUAUGAUGUUAUGUUCUAUAUUCCCAGAGAUCUGUUUCAAUUAUAUUUUCACAGAGCUGAAUCUUUUGUUAUGAGGUUAGAAGUUAGUUUUGAAAAAUUUGUUUCAAGAAUAUUUACAGUCCAUCUGUUUAUGAGCAAAGCACAGACUGAAGAGACAGCAUAGCACAGAUGAGUCAUAAACUGGUUCUUAAUUAUUGCAGUUUGGAGGCAGUACCAAGUGGUGUGUUUAGUCCUGUAUGGUCCUAGUCUUCCCUUGAAUUAAUCUUUUGACAAAACUGGAAGACUUUUGGGUACCCACCCAGUCCUAAGAACUGUUUAUUCUCCCAUAAUCCUGCCUUCAGAAAUUGAUAACUGACAACUGUUUGGUGAAAGAUUAAACAACAGAUGAUUUUCAGUUCUUGUAUUUUCUAUACAGUUUCUUAAUUUUACUGUAGUAAAAAAAAUCCAUAUAGCAAAGACUGCCAGUCAUGUCACCCUUCUCAUUUUAGAAGUGUGUAGUUUAGGAUCACAAAAUGUUUUGCAUGUUUACAUAACUGGUUAUUUUUGCAUCCCUGCUCUGAGGACGGUACCAUAAUACGCUCAUUUUACAGUUGAAGGAAGUGUGGCAGAGAGCAAUGACUUGAUUCAGGGCACACAUCAAGAGUGGUGUAGACUCAGUCAUCCCAAUUCCCACUUAUAGUGAAUGCUACUUCAUUCUUCACACCACAAAAACUACAACUUAAAAAAAUAUAAAAUUUUUUUUUGAAAAAUUGCUCUGUAGCUCCUUUCUUGGGACAGGAUUUUCAGAACCUGAAUUCUGGCACCCGGAUGCACCUUAUCAUAAUGCUUUACGAGUCUUUUUUGUGGGUAACUUUGUGCCUUUCAAAGAGCACCUGGAUACAGCUAGAAACACAAGGAACUAAGCUAGCUUUGAAGCAGAAGGGCUGAUUGCAAUGGAGAGGAGUGGCAUUAUUUUAACUAAGCAGUGUUUUAAGAUAGUGAACAAUCUAGAAAAGUCUUAUUCCUAACAAAUUACAAAAACAGUCCAGUGGCAUUUAAUUUAUUCCUGUUAUAAGCCCCAGUUUACCUCUGAAGAGGUGUUAAGAGAAACUGUUCUGUCAAGCCCAUUUAAUAACAAACUUUUAGUCAACAUGAAUAAUACUGAACUCUUAUGAAUAAGAUUAGAAAAUUAUUCUAUUUUUAUGUGAGAGAAAUAAAUUAAUAAAGAAAACCAGCACUGUUUGUGCACAAACCAAAUGUUCUUCUCAUCUCUGAGGUGACUCUCAAGUUACUUGUAUCUUGUCAGCCUCACUUUUCAAUAGUUUUGUUUUUAUGGGUAGUAUUUAGCAGGCAGCUCCUCUAGUUUUUGCUACAUGAUAAAUGUUUUUGUCCAGGACAUUCUCAAACCUGACUGGAGUGUCUGUGCUAGCAUAGGCAGCUCCUUGUCAGCAUACAAGGGAUCCAUAUUGGCUGUUGUGCAUUCAUUCGGUAGGUCACCCAUGUAGAGAGUAAAUGGAAGGAAACUGUAAAUUACAGGGUUAUAAAUACAUGAAGAGUCUCUUGAGCAAAGAUUGAGUGGUUUCUGAUGUCAGCAGAACCCUGAGAUGAAUUUAGUGUCCUGCUUUGUUUUGCUGUUUUUCUAUUCCCUGUGAAGCAGGGCUCCUUUAUAAAGAGAAGAGAAAGCCAAUUUAAUGGAGAAAUCAAACUUAGACACUUAAAUGAUAACCAUAAACAUUUACAGGAUGUCCUGUUCUGUCAUGGCCACAGAUAGAUGCUUAAAAUUCUGUCCCAUGGAUGUAGCUAAAAUGGGAAUUCUGAACCUAUUCAAUAUAAUCCAUUUCAUUUACUGGCUGUAAUGUCGUUGCAAGUGGAUAUUAAAAAGAACAAUCUUGGACUUUAAAAUACUGUUGGUGUAGAAAUUGAAGUAUAAAACCAGAAAACAUGUUAGUACAGUACAGAUUUAAGCAGGCAGGUUAGGAAGAUAAUGAAUACAUAUUAUGUAAUAAAGAAUAACAGGAUUAUCUAUUUUCAUGGCAGUGCAACACAAAAUAAUUCUAAAGACUAAGAAUCUAAGAUUUUCAUAUGAUCGGUGGUAACCAAGAAGGAAUAAUCUCAGUCAAUGAUAUUCAGAAAAAAAGAAACUGAACUUUGUUCCUGAAAAAUUAUCCAUAGGCUUCAGUAAUAAAAAAUGAUAUAUUUUGCAAACUGCCAGAUUUUGCAAAGUGCAGAUUACUCUGAAACCUGUAGGCAGAAUCAGUGUGGCAAUGCCCAACUGUAUUUGCUUCUGACCCAGAGAAGGAAGAGUUGUGGUCUGAAUGAAAAAGGCAAAAUAACAGCAUGUCCUCUGUAUGGGUCAAAGCUUUCAGGCUUAAAUUCAGUCACAGCAAAUAAUAACCUUGUUUCUCUAGAAAUAUCUAUUUUUCACAUUGUGCAGCAUAGUAAUCCUAAUAAUUCAGUUGUGAUCAUUUUGAAGGAUGUUGCAUAUUUCCUAUAGUUAGUCUGAAGGAGCUUUAGGCUUGUAAACAGCAUAAUUUGUUUCAGAGGUUAAAGGUCUAGACCAAAACCUCAGUGUCUGUCUGGAUCAAAAGCCAGUCAGUCUAUGAAAGAGUGAAGACCUCUAGGCUGAAUUACCUUUGUGGCAUUGCUAAAAUGCAAGGUGUGUCUUAGCAGAGAAUAUUUAUUUUAAAUAAUACAAUAAUCUAUCAAAAUCCCAUAACAUGUUUCUACCUCAAAUCUGAAAAAUUAAAUAAGGAUAACUACCAUUAUGAGGACGUGGUUAUCCAGUACCACCAUCCUUCUCUAGCCUUUGUAAAGUUCCGAGAAAUUACAAAAUAUUUUGUAAUACUGUUACUAAAAUAUAGUGCCCUGGAAAAAAUCAGAGGCACUGUGGCUCAGCUGUGAUUUCCAGGUGUACAUGGAAUAAACUAGAGGUUGUGGGAUAAUUUGAGAUGUUUUGUUUAUGUCAGAUUCUCUGUGGUGGCAACAAAAAUACUCACUAGAUUUCAGGCUAAAAUGUGGAUUAGUACUGAAAGUAAUUACUUCUAUGUGACUACACAAUUCCUUCUUCUGACACUAAAUUUAUCUCAGGCUUUUAGGAAGUCUACAGGCAUUGAGAAUUAUAUUGAACAUAUUCCAUGUGUGCAAAAGAGAAACAUUUCAGCCUCAGAUGGGAUAUAACUUUUAAUAUUUCCACUUGUACCCUAGACAAUAGUUCUAUAAAAGUUCUCACAGUUUAAUAAAAUUUCUUAUUCUAAAUGCAGGUGUUUUCUUACAGCAAUCCUGAAGGCAAAAAUAUCAUUCCUUUCCCCUUGGAAAUCUUGAAUGAUAACUCACAGAAUGGAACAAUAAAUCAGUUAUAUCCAGGAAAUGUUAGUUUGAAAAAGGAAAAAAGCCUACAAAAUACUGAUUUGAUAUUGCUUUCCAGAUUAAUGCAAAAACUUGACUGAACACAUGGCUGCAUUGUCAUACUGUGCUUAAAAUUGGCAGUCCCACAUGGCAUUGGACACAGUCCUGUCACUGGGUCCAGCCUGAUAAGAAGAGAACCCUUAAACACUUUGACUCAUCUCUAGUAAAAUCUUUCUACACUUGGGCUUCCCCCCCCACUAGGUUGCUUUUAAAAAACACUAUGUUAAUAAUAUUUUUGGAAUUAGGCACAUUUCAGAGAAAUGCACUGUACUGUACAGAGUAAUAAUGCCCAGAAAUUUAUCUGUGUAUAGUAUUUCAUCAUAUAUAUUUGGACGAUAUUUUAAAAUAUAGAUCUUGGUGAAAUAAUUAAGUUUUUUGACUGCAGGAAUACAGGAAUAAGCAUACAAAAAGAAACUCCUAAAAACUUCAGAGUAGACCAAAUUCUUACAUGUGUAGCAUCUAAAAAUAAAGGAUACUAAUUAUAACAACAGAAGAUACUUAAAAGUGUAGAUGAACACACCUCUUUUUUUUCUCUUUCAUUGCAACACAUUUGGGAAGAUCUGUGGUGGAACAUGCCUGCCACUUUCACUGUUAAUGGAAAACAAUGAAGUAUUUGGCAGGAUCAGUUACAUUAAGGUGUGAUUUCCUGCUGGAAUAAGAUCUGGAGGCCAAAGGGGAGACUGAAUGUGAACUAAGCUGUUCAUUCCUGCUUUAGCCAUACCCUGGAAGAACAUAUCAUACCACUCAAGUCACUUUAGGUUAGUGUGGUAGACGUAGCUCUCAUUUUCCCAUUUUCAAUCCUGUACUGCUUUAUAUUAAGAUUGGCUUAUUUUUUUUUAAUGAAAAACCCCCAACCUUCAAGCUUUUAUUUUAAAAAAGUCUGAAGACUUCACUUUUUUCUCUACAGAAACAUAUUGUCAACUGCAAAUAUAGAGAAAGUAAACCCCGAAGGUUAUUAUUUAUACUUUGGUAUCACUUUGAAGCAUUUGUUCUAUUUAAAGUCCUUGCUUUUUAUUCCAUGUUCUGUGGAGAACAUGUCUAGUCAUUACAGACCAUUCUUCUUCACUUUGUUGUAAACUACUUCUAUCCAUGUAAAUACUAAGGCCAUAGUUCUUCCAACUUUAUGGAUAUGCCUAAAAUCUAUUCAUGUGAACAUUUGCAUUGAUUUCUUUUUUAUAUUGUGUGCAAUAGGCAUGUGUAUAACUUGUAAAAAUCAGAACAGAAUUACUUUGUCCUCAGAGGAUUAAAACCAUUUGAAAUGUCUACUAUUUGCCAAAUGAGACAUAAGAUCCUGAUUUACACCAUCAGUUUUCUACAAGACCAAAUCUAUUUAAACAAUACAGUAAAAUAAUAUUGUUCCCUGUUACAUAUAACAGUGGCCUUUGAUAGUAAGUAGCCCACAACUAUUGGAUUAAUAUACGUAAGUAUUUAUAAUACAUGUUUUAAAUUAUAUACCAGGAUGGACUGUGCAUUUUUUAUACAUAUAUAUGUGUGUGUGGGUAUAUAGUCUUGGACUGUAGCCAAGACUAUGUAAGAAAUAUUGUGUGUGUAGAAGCUCUGAAUGGCCUCCUUCACAAACAUCAUCAUGCAGGCAUUUUCCCUGUUUUACCACCCCUCAAUGCUCUUUCCUUUAGUUAACUGUAUUUUUGGCUCAUAUCACACUAGAAUAUAUUUCCUCCACUGCCUGUCAUCUACUAGGAUUCAUUUUAAAUGAGGUAGUCACUAUCCUUAUCUAAUGAAUGAUAGUACUUUGGCCAGUGCAGUUUAAGGAUUGGGAGGAUUUAUGGUUCAGUUGUCUGAACACAAAAUAAGAUUUUUUGGCAGUGAAAUAAAGAUUUGAAAUUCAAAUUUUAUAAAUGGGUUCUUUAAAAACUCUUUGAUGUUUAAUCACACUGAAAAAGAACUUUAUUACAUGAGUGGCUGUAAGACUUGGAUGCUGUCUGUAUUUAUACCACACCGUCACAAGAGAAAUUAUUGUUACUUACUGAAGAAAUAAUCUCUGUUCUUUCUAGUUGGAUUAUAUUUAAAGCCUAGAAAAUUUUGACAAAAGAGGAAGAUGAAAGCUAAAGUCAGUGAUAGAUUCAGUCUGGAAAUAGUUGAAAUGUGUCUUGUGGGAUAAAUGUUUUUUUAUAUUGACUGCAUGUCAGCUCUAUAUUAGAUGUGAGCAUGACAAUAGCAGAGAAGACAACUACCAUAAUUUACCUACUUUUAUAAAAAACAGAUAUUGCCGGUUUACCCAUGCAAGGGUGGUGUUAUUUUGUAAUUUGGGUGCUUUUCACACAGCCUGAUUCAAGGCACUCCAUGGCAAGUGCCUGUGUUGGUUGAUUAGCCUUCCUAGAAUCCUCAAAAUUUGUUAGGAGAAAGAGAUUUCUACCACCCAGAGGACAAUUCAGAGGAAGGAUUCACUGAAUUACUGAAUUACUGAAUGAAUGAAUGAAUUACUCUCCUGAAGAGGCCUUCUCACCAUGCUGAUACACAGGAAACCAACAGCAUCCAACUUCCUACUUUAUUGUAUAAACAGAACAAAAAAAUAGCAAUGUCAGGAAUAAAAACCAAAUCGGAUAAGUAUAUAAACCUGUAGUAUGCUGAAUGUAAAAUGAGGCACUUAAAGCCAAAAAUUAGAAACCUGAAUAUGCCUGCUUAUGUGGUACCAAUUUCUAGGCUUUCUCAAACUGUGCCUGUUGAUAUGUCAACGGGCACGUCUGGAACUGCUUGAGAUUUCAUAGUGCUGGAGAGACAACACAUGCCAUACCUCAUAGUCCACAUACAGAAACUAAAUGUUCUCUCUAUUAUAAGACACAUUCUUUUCCUUUCAUCUCUUUCCGUGUCAAGAUGAUUAUUAAUAAUUUUAGUGGUUAAAACAAUGGUUAAAAGGUCCAUUCUCGUUUGAAAGUUCAUGAUACAAGCAUUGGGACAUUUUAAGCAUUUAACAGUGUGAAAAAUUAACACUGUGAUUGCAAUAGAUGCUGCAUAGUAAUAGAAGGAAAAAACUAGUUCUCACCUGAGGCAAUUGUACAAUGUAAUAAGAUACAAAACCUGUUUUAGUUCAGAACAGCAGAAAAAGUUUAAUCAGAUUCAAGAAACUGGGGAAUUGGUAAUGUCAGCACCAUGUCAAUUCCAUCACUGCAACACAGGUUUGAAGCUUCUAGUGGAACUAAGGAAAACAAAGAUUAUGUUAAUAAUUUUGUUAACUUUUUUUUCUUUAUUCCUGAGACAUUAAAAAGGCACCAAGAAAUAGUGUUAACAAAGUCAAGACAAAUUGUGUUCAUCUGGAGAGUUAGAGGUACCAAAACCAGAUGAACUCCUACAGGAUUAAGAUUUUAUUUUCUUGCAACUAUAAAAUGUAGUCUAAAGAUGAAAGAAGAAUGCUUAUUUUCCCCAGGAAGCAGUUUCCCUUCUGUUUUUCCUUGAAGCAUUAAUUUUCCUCUCAGCAGAAAAAAAAAAUGGCCACAGAAAAUAAACUGUUAUUUUGCCCUUUGCAUUGUGUCGUGGAUGAAGAAGCUUUGUGAUUUCUUUAAGGUCUUAGCUUUAACUACUGGGCCAUAGCAUCAGAGAUUGAUUGCUGCUAUUGUGUGCCAUUAAGGGAUAUUGUAUAUUUAGAGGUCUGAAUCAUUACUAGGUUUUGUAGUACCCCAAAAAAUCUUUUGGUAUUUCUUUUCAGUGCAACAUGAAGGAGCUUUCAUUUUGCUUUUCUCACUGUCAUAGAGAUCCUGCUAUGAUUUGUACAGCUUACCUAUGUCAAGAAUGUAGUUUUAGAAGCUUGUGUAAAUUAUCUGUU